GCUUACACAUGCAGUCGAACGGUGAACACGGAGCUUGCUCUGUGGGAUCAGUGGCGAACGGGUGAGUAACACGUGAGCAACCUGCCCCUGACUCUGGGAUAAGCGCUGGAAACGGCGUCUAAUACUGGAUAUGUGACGUGACCGCAUGGUCUGCGUUUGGAAAGAUUUUUCGGUUGGGGAUGGGCUCGCGGCCUAUCAGCUUGUUGGUGAGGUAAUGGCUCACCAAGGCGUCGACGGGUAGCCGGCCUGAGAGGGUGACCGGCCACACUGGGACUGAGACACGGCCCAGACUCCUACGGGAGGCAGCAGUGGGGAAUAUUGCACAAUGGGCGCAAGCCUGAUGCAGCAACGCCGCGUGAGGGAUGACGGCCUUCGGGUUGUAAACCUCUUUUAGCAGGGAAGAAGCGAAAGUGACGGUACCUGCAGAAAAAGCGCCGGCUAACUACGUGCCAGCAGCCGCGGUAAUACGUAGGGCGCAAGCGUUAUCCGGAAUUAUUGGGCGUAAAGAGCUCGUAGGCGGUUUGUCGCGUCUGCUGUGAAAUCCCGAGGCUCAACCUCGGGCCUGCAGUGGGUACGGGCAGACUAGAGUGCGGUAGGGGGAGAUUGGGAAUUCCUGGUGUAGCGGUGGAAUGCGCAGAUAUCAGGAGGAACACCGAUGGCGAAGGCAGAUCUCUGGGCCGUAACUGACGCUGAGGAGCGAAAGGGUGGGGAGCAAACAGGCUUAGAUACCCUGGUAGUCCACCCCGUAAACGUUGGGAACUAGUUGUGGGGUCCAUUCCACGGAUUCCGUGACGCAGCUAACGCAUUAAGUUCCCCGCCUGGGGGAGUACGGCCGCAAGGCUAAAACUCAAAGGAAUUGACGGGGACCCGCACAAGCGGCGGAGCAUGCGGAUUAAUUCGAUGCAACGCGAAGAACCUUACCAAGGCUUGACAUAUACGAGAACGGGCCAGAAAUGGUCAACUCUUUGGACACUCGUAAACAGGUGGUUGCAUGGUUGUCGUCAGCUCGUGUCGUGAGAUGUUUGGGUUAAGUCCCGCAACGAGCGCAACCCUCGUUCUAUGUUGCCAGCACGUUAAUGGUGGGGAACUCAUGGGGAUACUGCCGGGGUCACUCCGCAGAAAAGGUGGGGGAAGAACGUCAAAUCAUCAUGCCCCCUUAUGUCUUGGGCUUUCCCCCUGCUACAAUGGGCGGGGACAAAGGGUGGCAUUACCUUGGAGGUGGAAACAAAUCCCAAAAGACGGUUCCCCCUUCCGAAUUAAGGUCUGUAAUCUAAACUCCUGGAAUCCGGAACGCCUAUUAAUCCGAAUA
This 1309-nucleotide ribosomal RNA is filed under the name Microbacterium paraoxydans. RNAcentral's name for it is "bacterial SSU rRNA". It matches the Rfam family "Bacterial small subunit ribosomal RNA", at positions 46 to 1349 of the family's 1533-position model. Lineage: Bacteria; Bacillati; Actinomycetota; Actinomycetes; Micrococcales; Microbacteriaceae. The record is from RNAcentral.